Molecule: transfer RNA, 76 nt
Filed under: Deltaproteobacteria bacterium
Lineage: Bacteria; Pseudomonadati; Myxococcota; Myxococcia
Also listed under: 1 other name
Description: tRNA-Cys
Rfam family: tRNA
About the family: Transfer RNA (tRNA) molecules are approximately 80 nucleotides in length. Their secondary structure includes four short double-helical elements and three loops (D, anti-codon, and T loops). Further hydrogen bonds mediate the characteristic L-shaped molecular structure. tRNAs have two regions of fundamental functional importance: the anti-codon, which is responsible for specific mRNA codon recognition, and the 3' end, to which the tRNAs corresponding amino acid is attached (by aminoacyl-tRNA synthetases). tRNAs cope with the degeneracy of the genetic code in two manners: having more than one tRNA (with a specific anti-codon) for a particular amino acid; and 'wobble' base-pairing, i.e. permitting non-standard base-pairing at the 3rd anti-codon position.
Source: RNAcentral
GGCGGCGUAGCCAAGUGGCUAAGGCAGUGGUCUGCAAAACCAUUAUUCGGCGGUUCGAGUCCGCCCGCCGCCUCCA